UAACCGCCUGCGAGCGCGGUGGCCGGAA
This 28-nucleotide small RNA is filed under the name Bombyx mori (domestic silkworm). Its description in RNAcentral is "ovarian small RNA-18741". Lineage: Eukaryota; Metazoa; Arthropoda; Insecta; Lepidoptera; Bombycidae. The record is from RNAcentral.